UGAGUGAUAAUAUGGGAAUAGAGAUAGAGCAAAUCUAGUAUAUGGGCGAUGGUAGCAGAAUAGAGAGGAUAACUAUGGUUUCUCUACUUCAAAGGGGUAUGUCUAUGUCUGGGACGAACCACCAUAGGCCGAUAAACCCUACCCGUCCUGCUAACGAGAGGUGGACUACAGGGGACCAACGUAACUGUCACCUACGCGGCCUACCACACGAUCCAGCUAGUC
Molecule: long non-coding RNA, 222 nt
Filed under: Sorghum bicolor (sorghum)
Lineage: Eukaryota; Viridiplantae; Streptophyta; Magnoliopsida; Poales; Poaceae
Description: long non-coding RNA (SBIC_LNC006609)
Source: RNAcentral